UCUGCUACCGCCAUUUUGUUAAGUGUUUUUUUUUGUUUGUUUGCUUGCUUUUUUAACUGUUACCGGAUGCGAUUAAACGCGAAAGGACACUUUGCCCAUGGAAAGCAAAAGUUCAGAAUCGUUUUCGGUUUUCAUAUUCAAACGCAAUGCUGCAAUAUAUUAUUAUAAAGCAUGAUAAUGAAGCUAAUCUUGAGCAUUAUCAUACUUUAUCCUUAGUUUUUAUCACUAGAAAAUUACAUAAAGCAGAUAAGAUACGGAGUGGGAGGAUAAAUUAGGAACAUUCUUUCGAAUUUAUUGAUGAAUUCGGAGUUUAGAUAUGUUUGGAUCUGUAAUAUUUGCAUUCUGAUACGCAAGGAUAACGAGUUGCACCCAUUUUACGCGUUUCAAUUGGCGCGAUAAUUCUGUUUUGGUCUUCAGAAUUUCCAAGUUGCAACUGCUGCUCUACAAUAACUGCGAAGUUUAUUUUUUAUUAAAUUUAUCUUGGACAAACUCUCGAAUUUCGUACAACAACAAACUGGAUAUUCUCGAUUCUAAGUACAGAACCGAAAUUUAUCCUAGUUCUGCUUGUUGAGCGGGUUAUAACCACGAAACGUUUAAUAUUGUCAGAAUGGAAGAGGAAGAUCGAAACUCUGUAGUGUAUGCUACAAUAAUAAAUCCAUUUACUCGAAUAUAAGCAAAGGAAACACACGUAUCGAUAGAGAGAGAUAUAUUCUAGAUUCAGAGAUAGGCCUUCAUACUAUCGUCAUCAGAGAGAUGUACAGAACUGGAGCGCGAAUGUAUAACACGCCCGUUAACCAGAUGGAAGAUAAACACACUGGAGCUGUGGAGCGUGUGGUUAUUGGCACGAGAAGAAUAGGAAUUACGACAUUUGGAACACAGAAUAGGAAAUGGGAGAUAGACACCGUGAUGUGGUUUCUCGAUUUUUAAACUUUUCACGAAAAUGCAAAUAAAAAUGUGCCAAUGUUGUAUAAAUGAGUAAACUUUAGAUUCGGUAAAGCAGAAAGAUGUACGACUAAUUUCUGUGUGUGUAAUCUAAAAAUUUCGAUGGAAUUUUUGCAUUAUUUAUCCCUCAUCCAUGUUCUCAUCUUUUUAUAAAGACAUUUAUUGUCCAUAAUGGAUUCUGUUUAUACAGGAUACAUUAACGUACUCGAAUCCGUUCGUUCUCGACGGUACAGGUAGCAGUUUUUUUUUUCUCUAGAAGAAUCUCGUUUAAAUGAUCUCUUAACUCUUUUUUUUUUCUUCUUCUUCUUAGUAAAUUGAAUUUAUUCGCAUAAAUGCGGUUGGUUUUUGUUCUUCAGUGUCCUAUUUCCGACAUUCAAACGUUCCGAACUAAAUAGCAUUAAAAAGAAGCUAUCGAAUGUCGUUAAAAAAAAAAAAAAUUUUUUUUUUAAGAAGUUCGGAAGAUGAGGUUUGUUUAUCUUUUAAAGGGCAAGUCGGUAUAUGGAGAAAGAGAGAGAUGAUAAUUCCGACGAAUAGGCAGAAAAUGGAAAAAUAGACGGAUGCGUAAUUGGUUAGGAAAACGGAAGGUCGAGUGUGUUAGAUGGAAAUGGUCAGGUUUUUCCAAUUGGUCGGGAGCAGCUUGGUCCUCUACUGCAAUGACGACCUUCCGGCCUUGAGCAUCCCAAUCCGCAGGAACGACGUCAGCCCAGGCGAUCGAUUCCUGGCAGAAACUGGAACAGGUAGAAGCGAGGUAAAUGGAAUCGUCCUUGGAAAAUUAGCCCUGACCUCCGCGUUGCCUAGCCCCUAAUCUUGCUAUUUUUUUUUCUUUUUCUGUAAUGUUCCUGGUAAUAAAUAGUUCCAGUCACCACUUCCUCUUCCGUUCUUUUACCUCUCGAUGUAUUAAUUUGAAAAAUAACGAAAAACAAUUUGUAUGUUAACGCGUUAUAUGCUUAUAUAUAUAUAUAUAUUAUACACCUGGCUAUCCGAUCUCCGGAUUUUGGAACAGCAUCAUCAUUUCGUUCCAAAAUCCGGAAUGAUUGAUUAAUAAAUCGGUGACCAAAACGGAAUUUUGUGAUCAAACGAGCAAUUUUAAAAAAUAGUAUCGAUAGAAAUCUAUAAGAUUCGUUCUCGUUUAAAGCCCCGUACACGAAUGAAAAUUUCGAGUGUGUCGUUAAAAAUAAUAUAAUGUUUGGAAGAGGCACUUCAAACAUGGCUUAUGUUAAUUAGAAGAAACGAAUAAUAAUUUUUAUGUAUAAAAAUCUACAACCUUCGCACUCGACUGGUCCUCCUGUGCUGCAAGUUUUGUUUUUUUUCUUUUGUUAACCGUCGUCGACGUCCUCGGAAUUUAUCAGAAUUCGCUAACAUAUUUCCACUUAGUUAUCGUUAUUGCGUAAAAAAAAAAUCUAUCGUUAUGCCGAUUAAUAUGCAUAAUUUUUGAGGCGAUAAAUACGGUUUUAUUUUUUAUUUUUUCACUUGUUUCUCUGGUAGAAAUUUCAAGAAUUUCCUAUUUUAGUAGAUUUAGUAGGUUAACCGCUUACGGUAGCGUUAAUUCUGGACCUGUGUGGAGUGGGAAUUUUUUCGAAAGAUCGUCACGUUGGAUUCGGAUUCGAGUAGUCAUAUAUUUAAAAAAAAAAAAAAAAAAAAAUGUGUUAGUCACGAGAUAAAGAUUAUCAUGGGAGAUACGAG
RNAcentral lists this long non-coding RNA (2625 nucleotides) under Androctonus crassicauda. The record is from RNAcentral. Lineage: Eukaryota; Metazoa; Arthropoda; Arachnida; Scorpiones; Buthidae.